UGAAUCGAUGAUGACUACUGGUGGAUUAUGAGUUGUGUCUGAUAAAUACAAGUCUAGACCUCUGAGGUCUAA
This is a small nucleolar RNA of Bison bison bison, 72 nucleotides long. Lineage: Eukaryota; Metazoa; Chordata; Mammalia; Artiodactyla; Bovidae. The record is from Ensembl.